AUUGAACGCUGGCGGCAUGCCUUACACAUGCAAGUCGAACGGUAGCGCGGGGCAACCUGGCGACGAGUGGCGAACGGGUGAGUAAAGCAUCGGAACGUGCCCUGGAAUGGGGGGAUAACGUAGCGAAAGUUACGCUAAUACCGCAUAUUCUGUGAGCAGGAAAGCAGGGGAUCGCAAGACCUUGCGUUCUGGGAGCGGCCGAUGUCGGAUUAGCUAGUUGGUGGGGUAAAAGCCUACCAAGGCGACGAUCCGUAGCGGGUCUGAGAGGAUGAUCCGCCACACUGGGACUGAGACACGGCCCAGACUCCUACGGGAGGCAGCAGUGGGGAAUUUUGGACAAUGGGCGGAAGCCUGAUCCAGCCAUGCCGCGUGAGUGAAGAAAGCCUUCGGGUUGUAAAGGCUCUUUCGGUGGGGAAGAAAUUGCACGGGUUAAUACCCUGUGUAGAUGACGGUACCCGACUAAGAAGCACCGGCUAACUACGUGCCAGCAGCCGCGGUAA
RNAcentral lists this ribosomal RNA (500 nucleotides) under uncultured bacterium. RNAcentral's name for it is "bacterial SSU rRNA". It matches the Rfam family "Bacterial small subunit ribosomal RNA", at positions 29 to 523 of the family's 1533-position model. The record is from RNAcentral.